Molecule: ribosomal RNA, 528 nt
Filed under: uncultured Chloroflexota bacterium
Lineage: Bacteria; Bacillati; Chloroflexota
Description: bacterial SSU rRNA
Rfam family: Bacterial small subunit ribosomal RNA
Source: RNAcentral
UGCAGCAAGGAUAUGCGCAAUGGACGAAGUCUGACGCAGCAACACCGCGUGGAGGAUGAAGGCCUUCGGGUUGUAAACUCCUUUUCUGGGGGAAGAGAUAGGACAGUACCCCAGGAAUAAGUCUCGGCUAACUACGUGCCAGCAGCCGCGGUAAAACGUAGGAGGCGAACGUUAUCCGGAUUUACUGGGCGUAAAGCGCAUGCAGGCGGUUUCUUAAGUCGGACGUGAAAGCUCCUGGCUCAACUGGGAGAGGUCGUUCGAAACUGGGAAACUUGAGGAUGGUAGAGGAGAGUGGAAUUCCCGGUGUAGUGGUGAAAUGCGUAGAUAUCGGGAGGAACACCAGUGGCGAAGGCGGCUCUCUGGGCCAUUCCUGACGCUAAGAUGCGAAAGCCAGGGUAGAGAACGGGAUUAGAAACCCCGGUAUUCCUGGCCGUAAACGAUGUCAACUAGGUGUAGGGGGUAUCCAACCCCUCUGUGCUGUAGCAAACGCGUUAAGUUGACCGCCUGGGGACUACGGCCGCAAGGCUA